GAUGAAGAACGUAGCGAAAUGCGAUACUUGGUGUGAAUUGCAGAAUCCCGUGAACCAUCGAGUCUUUGAACGCAAGUUGCGCCCGAAGCCAUUAGGCCGAGGGCACGCCUGCCUGGGCGUCACACGUCGUUGCCCCCCCAUCUACUCCUUCGGGAUUGCGGGGGGCGGAUGAUGGCCUCCCGUGCGCCUCGCCGCGCGGUUGGCAUAAAUGCCAAGUCCUCGGCGACGCACGCCACGACAAUCGGUGGUUGCGAAACCUCGGUUGCCCGUCGUGUGCGGUCGUCGCGCAUCGAGGGCUCGAAAAAAUUGCCGGGUCCCGGCUCGGCUUUCAACGCGACCCCAGGUCAGGCGGGGUUACCCGCUGAAUUUAAGCAUAUCAUAAGCGGAGGA
Molecule: unclassified non-coding RNA, 390 nt
Filed under: soil metagenome
Description: partial contains 5.8S ribosomal RNA, internal transcribed spacer 2, and large subunit ribosomal RNA
Rfam family: 5.8S ribosomal RNA (bases 1-122)
Source: RNAcentral